Molecule: ribosomal RNA, 252 nt
Filed under: uncultured bacterium
Lineage: Bacteria
Description: partial 16S ribosomal RNA
Rfam family: Bacterial small subunit ribosomal RNA
Source: RNAcentral
ACGGAGGGUGCAAGCGUUAAUCGGAAUUACUGGGCGUAAAGCGCACGCAGGCGGUCUGUUAAGUCAGAUGUGAAAUCCCCGGGCUCAACCUGGGAACUGCAUUUGAAACUGGCAGGCUUGAGUCUUGUAGAGGGGGGUAGAAUUCCAGGUGUAGCGGUGAAAUGCGUAGAGAUCUGGAGGAAUACCGGUGGCGAAGGCGGCCCCCUGGACAAAGACUGACGCUCAGGUGCGAAAGCGUGGGGAGCAAACAGG